CCUACGGGCGGCAGCAGUGGGGGAUAUUGCACAAUGGGGGAAACCCUGAUGCAGCGACGCCGCGUGUGGGAAGACGGUCCUCUGGAUUGUAAACCACUGUCCCCAGGGACGAAGAUGACGGUACCUGGGGAGGAAGCCCCGGCUAACUACGUGCCAGCAGCCGCGGUAAUACGUAGGGAGCGAGCGUUGUCCGGAAUUACUGGGUGUAAAGGGAGCGUAGGCGGGGAUGCAAGUUGGGGGUCAAAACUACCGGCUCAACUGGUAGUCGCACUCAAAACUGCAGCUCUUGAGUGAAGUAGAGGCAGGCGGAAUUCCUAGUGUAGCGGUGAAAUGCGUAGAUAUUAGGAGGAACACCAGUGGCGAAGGCGGCCUGCUGGACAGAAACUGACGUUGAGGCUCGAAAGCGUGGGGAGCAAACAGGAUUAGAUACCCCUGUAGUC
Molecule: ribosomal RNA, 440 nt
Filed under: uncultured bacterium
Lineage: Bacteria
Description: partial 16S ribosomal RNA
Rfam family: Bacterial small subunit ribosomal RNA
Source: RNAcentral